UCGCCGAGGUUCGCCGAAAUUGUAAGUUACGCGACUGUUAAUCGAAUGGUCGCAGGUUCGAGUCCUGCUCGGGGAGCCA
This 79-nucleotide transfer RNA is filed under the name Bradyrhizobium sp. RNAcentral's name for it is "tRNA-Asn". The record is from RNAcentral. Lineage: Bacteria; Pseudomonadati; Pseudomonadota; Alphaproteobacteria; Hyphomicrobiales; Nitrobacteraceae.